AAGAAGCUUAGCUUUUAUCCCUGAGUGUCCACUGGAAUAUUAUAAUCUAGUUGCUGCGAGUUACCAAGUUGGAUUUGUAUGUGCAAAGGAGCAUUUUGUCAUCACCUUGGAGAAUGAACUAGAGAGAAAAACAGGCAAGAGUGGUGGCAGAGAGAAGAGUUAGUGUUCCAACCCCCCAAAAAGAUGAUGAGGCCAUGUUCAGAGGGAUGGAUCAGAAAGAAGUAUGUAGAUAAUUAGGAGGUUAAACGGACAAGAUUUGGAAAGUGGCAGCCAUGAAAAUGUAUUCCUCAGAUCUCCUGCAGUGUGUACAGUAUAAUGGACCAAUGGCCCCAGUGUCCAUCCCACCAGGUCCACCACUUUAUUCAUGACAAGGUCGUGCUUCCCAGGGGCUGCUCCCAACCAGUGUAUGAGCAUAGCUGGGCCACCAGUGCAGGCCAUUCCUAGAGGAGGCAAGACUCCUAGUUCACAGUAACAUAGUACUAAUUAAAUGUAGGGAAAUUGGAAGAGGCAGAUUCUAAAGGAUUCUCAUGUCAAUGCUAGAAAAAAAUAAUCAAUUCUGGGGACAAUUAUAAGGACUAUGAUGAGAGUCUGGGAAAUAUCAGGUCGGUUUUGUGUAUGUUAUUUUGCAGGAUUCUAGGACACUGAGGGACAGAUUUCCCACACUCCCACCUGCGUGCUCAGUUGCGUGGACUGCAUCCUGCCAGGCUCCUCUGUCCAUGGGAUUCUCCAGGCAAAACUACUGGAGUAGGUUGCCAUUUCCUCCUCCAGGGGAUCUUCCCGACCCAGAGAUGGAACCCACGUCUCUUGCAUCUCCUGCAUUAGCAGGUGGAUUUUUUUUUUUUUUUUUUACCACUGGUGCCACCUGGGAAGCCCUGCAGAGAACUGCAUAUUGUGAACCAAGAAUUCAGAAGAGAGGCUGGGUAUCCUGAACCUAAAUCUAAAAAACUGUCUACGUGUAUACAAAUGGGAGUUUAAAACGGAGUUUGCUGCUGCUGCUGCUAAGUCGCUUCAGUCGUGUCCGACUCUGUGUGACCCCAUAGACGGCAGCCCACCAGGCUCCACCAUCCCUGGGAUUCUCCAGGCAAGAACACUGGAGUGGGUUGCCAUUUCCUUCUCCAAUGCAUGAAAGUGAAAAGUGAAAGUGAAGUCGCUCAGUUGUGUCUGACUCUUAGCGUUCCCAUGGACUGCAGCCUACCAGCCUCCUCCAUCCAUGGGAUUUUCCAGGCAAGAGUACUGGAGUGGGGUGCCAUUGCCUUCUCCGAAAACAGAGUUUAAAAUUCCUUUAAAAGGGAGUUUAAAAUAAAACAAACAGUUAUUAGCUUGGAAAAUAGAAG
RNAcentral lists this long non-coding RNA (1334 nucleotides) under Bos indicus x Bos taurus (hybrid cattle). Its description in RNAcentral is "lncRNA (ENSBIXG00005010053.1)". Lineage: Eukaryota; Metazoa; Chordata; Mammalia; Artiodactyla; Bovidae. The record is from RNAcentral.